RNAcentral lists this ribosomal RNA (195 nucleotides) under uncultured bacterium. Its description in RNAcentral is "partial 16S ribosomal RNA". It matches the Rfam family "Bacterial small subunit ribosomal RNA", at positions 1305 to 1500 of the family's 1533-position model. The record is from RNAcentral.
CUGAAAUUCGCCUUCAUGAAGCUGGAAUUGCUAGUAAUGGCAGGUCAGCAUACUGCCGUGAAUACGUUCCCGGGCCUUGUACACACCGCCCGUCACACCAUGGGAGCCGGUAAUACCCGAAGUCAGUAGUCCAACCUCGUGAGGACGCUGCCGAAGGUAGGAUUGGCGACUGGGGUGAAGUCGUAACAAGGUACC